GAAAAAGAAUUAGGUAUUCUAUUCAAUACUUUCCUAUCCAAGUAUUGAGAGAGUUUGGUUGUGAAUUUGGGAUCAUUGUAGAAGACCGCAAAUUCAAAGAUGGAUUCACCUUAAGAUAUUUGCUCACACUUAAUGAUGUAUUCCUGAUUAUUUUAAGCAUCCUUCAUGUGAACUAUGUGUUAUGUUGGUUGUCUAUAUUACAUGCAAGUGAUCUUGUCUAUUUGCGCCCAUUGUGCAUGCUUGAUUUUCAAACAAUACAUAAUAUUGCAAAGAAGAGAUAUGGUUGUUGCAAAGAUUGAAUGAGAAAACAACCUAACAAACUCUUUCACAAAAUCUUUACCGCAGAAGCCCUUAGAAAGACAUGUAGAAGAAUUGGGUGCUAGUGUUGUGGAUUCAUGGUAAUGAGUCUAAGUAAGAGAUUGUUAGGAUAUACUAUAAACCAUGCGAUUUUGAAAUAGUACUAUUUAUGGAAUGAUUAUUUAUUUAUUUAAUUCAAUAAAUCAUUACAUUAAAUAUAUUUUUACCAUAUAUGUGUCCUCAAUAUAUAUAUAGUAGAUAAUUUGGUGUAUAUUAUACACGGAAGAUUAAAUCAUCGAUUCUAAUAAGUUAAAGUUUUAGUUCACAAUCGUAGAUAGGAAUUUGGGCAAACCAUCAGAAUGAUUGUAGCACAAGAUUAUAUGUAAUUUAUCUUGAUUAAGAGAAUGAUAUAGUUCUAACUUAUUCUUCUAGUACAUUUUGUAUGUGUUGAAUGAGAUCGAGUAGAAAUAGUUGUUUUGUACUAACUAAUAAAAAUAUAUUCUCUAGAUUGAUAAAUGUACUUAUAUUCUCAAUCCUGAUAUAACUAUUAUGAUUUGUGUAUAUUCUUUAUCUAUUUGAUUUAUUAAGAUGUGAUAUUCUGAGAUGGGUCAAUAUUCAAAUUGGAUGAUAAUAAUAUAUAUUGGUGAAAUAAUAAGUUAGUUGAUGGAGUUCAUAUUUGGGUAUAGAGAUUGAUGAUACGUCUUUUAUGAGAAGCUUAUAAGUUUUCAUGUGUAUCAUUGAAUUUACGAAUCCGACAUAUGAAAUAAGUGAAGUAUUGCUAUAAAGGAAAUUAAUCAUUAUAUUAAAUUCUUCUAUAAUUUAAUUUAUUGAUUAGUAUCUAUAAUAUUAAUAUGUGAAAUUACAUAAGUGUUUAAUGGAGAAUUUGAAAUAAAAAUAAAGAAGUAAAAUUACAAAUUUUUAGUGAAUAAUUUAUAAUUUACUAUGGUAAGAAUAAUUCAAAUUGGUUUUUUGAAUUACUUCCAUAAUAGGGAGCCUCAAUAAUUAAUUAUGUGGUCCCUACAGCGCCAAUAUUAUACUAAAACUUGAAAUUCUAUUUUCUAUGGGAAAAUAAGAAACCACCUGUGCUUAUUCAAGUAGAAAUAGGCGUGUAUUUUUCUUUCCUCCUUAGACUGGGGAAGUAUCUCUAUCAAUAGAUAUUUCCCUAGCCUAGAAAUUGAAAAACAAAAACAUAGAAAGAAUUCGGUAUUCUAUUCAGUACUUGCCCACCCACGUAUUGAGAGAGUUCAACUGAGAAUUUGGGAUCACUGUAGAAGACUACAGAUUUGAUAAUGGAUUCAGUUGAAAGUAUCUACACAUGCUUCAAGAGGUAUUCCUGAUUAUCUUAAAGCUUUAUUUUCAUGAACUAAGUGUUUAUGUUGGUUGUCUAUAUUACAUGCAAGAGAUCCAGUCUAUUUACUUUCAUUGUGUGUACCUGAUAUUCCAACAAAUAGUUCUCUAAUAGAAUCCAUUGAAUGACUAUGUUAAGGUAUAAUUGAUAUUUUUUUAGCUAAAUGACUGGCCCAAGCCUAUUUUAUUGAUAAAAUAUUUACAAUAAUAAAGUGGGUCAAUCAAAUAAAGGACCAACUCGACAAAAAAUAACAAAAAAAUAAAAAACUCUAUUCUAUUCUAGAAAGCAAUGAAUAAGGAAAAUAGGAAUUGGGAAAGGCUAACGAAUCUCUACAUGUCUCCUUAUCUCAAUGCCAGCUACCUCUUCAGUCAUUUGAAUCUACUCAUCUCAGAUGAUAUGUACUACACACUAUAAACUUCCCAUUUGUGGUUUGGAAUCCACUAAGCAUGUCCCAUGAUGAUGCCUUUUGACUGAUAGAUGAGACGUGAAAGUGGUGGUCCCGAGGUACCCACAAAAUUGCAGUUGCUAACGCUGGGGUCUAUAUGACCGUGAGGUUUGAGUCCCCCUUAUUAUUAUCAACACAUGAAUGGGAUGUUCGAGUCCCUCAUAUCUUAUUACAUUAUUUGGUGUAUGUGUCACCUUUAUAUGCUGGGAGGUUCGAGUUCCCCGUAGUGCAUAUGUUUACCCUUUGGUUCGUACGGCCACUUGCACUAGCACCUUAUCAGCUGGGGGAGACAUGGGCACAAAUAGCCCCUAGGUACCUUUGUAUAUUAUGAUGGUUAAGCUAUACAAUCCAGACUAAAGUUUUAAAGUGCCUGUUAAGCGUUGUUCCCUAUCUCGGCAUAUGAUAUAUAUGUGUAUAUGUAUUUGAUUAUGUAUGUUGGAUUCGAAUGAUUUUGAAUUAUUGAUUAUGGCAUUAUUUUCAUCCUUAUCCCUGAGUUACAUGCUAGCGUUCAUCCCGCUAAAUGUCUUCCGAUGUUGUAUCCCCACGCGAUGCAGAAACUGGUGAUACCCCUACUUUUUCUACUCAGUGAUUAUAAUUCAGGAUCAGCUCAUAAGUUGACAUUAAAGUGGUGAGUUUUCAUACUUUUGAAGUCUACAUUUCAUGUUUUGGUCUCUUAUGCCUCACACUGUUUAGACUUAUUUUUGGCUAUAGCCGAGGGCAUUCCCGAUACUUUUUUUAUAUUCAGUUUUUCUUCUUUGUCUAGAAGUCUUUGUUUGGAUUACUGUGGAUAUUGGGCGAUGUUAGCUGGUUGUUUGGCCGGUCGCUGGUCAUUGGUGAUAGACAUGUUUUAAAUUUCCCUUAAGCUUAUUGCAUUCUUUCUUUUUAUAUGUUUGAAAUUCAUCCAACAGCAGGGAUAUUGUGUUGUUUGGUUAGGUGCAAAGGGGGCGGUCUCUGGUCCACAUGGGAUUUUAGAUGGCCAUCACAGAAAGACACUGGUUCCGGUCAUGACAAACACGCAUUGUAGGCUCUUAGGAUCAAAUUUGAGCAUACCAGUAACAACAUUAGGGGACGCCUCAAAACACUGGUGGGUUACAAAAGCAUACAGACAACUCCAGCCAGUGUCGAAGCCAAAAGCAGAAGUAGCACCGUUUGGUGUAGGAGCUGACAAAGUAGCAACAGGGAUCUUAUUUUCCCUAGAAGCAACCCUGGAAGGACAGCCCCAUCUGUAUAUGACCAAUCUGAUCAUAUUUAAAGUACUUGUUCCUCCCUUCUUCACAAGCACCACGAUGCACUUG
Long non-coding RNA from Capsicum annuum, 3385 nucleotides. RefSeq lists it as uncharacterized. The record is from RefSeq and is a predicted model, not a curated record. The transcript is spliced from 3 exons. NCBI's taxonomy places the organism in Eukaryota, Viridiplantae, Streptophyta, Magnoliopsida, Solanales, Solanaceae.